GACGAACGCUGGCGGCGUGCUUAACACAUGCAAGUCGAACGGAAAGGCCCUGCUUUUGUGGGGUGCUCGAGUGGCGAACGGGUGAGUAACACGUGAGUAACCUGCCCUUGACUUUGGGAUAACUUCAGGAAACUGGGGCUAAUACCGGAUAGGAGCUCCUGCUGCAUGGUGGGGGUUGGAAAGUUUCGGCGGUUGGGGAUGGACUCGCGGCUUAUCAGCUUGUUGGUGGGGUAGUGGCUUACCAAGGCUUUGACGGGUAGCCGGCCUGAGAGGGUGACCAGCCACAUUGGGACUGAGAUACGGCCCAGACUCCUACGGGAGGCAGCAGUGGGGAAUAUUGCACAAUGGGCGGAAGCCUGAUGCAGCAACGCCGCGUGCGGGAUGACGGCCUUCGGGUUGUAAACCGCUUUCGCCUGUGACGAAGCGUGAGUGACGGUAAUGGGUAAAGAAGCACCGGCUAACUACGUGCCAGCAGCCGCGGUGAUACGUAGGGUGCGAGCGUUGUCCGGAUUUAUUGGGCGUAAAGGGCUCGUAGGUGGUUGAUCGCGUCGGAAGUGUAAUCUUGGGGCUUAACCCUGAGCGUGCUUUCGAUACGGGUUGACUUGAGGAAGGUAGGGGAGAAUGGAAUUCCUGGUGGAGCGGUGGAAUGCGCAGAUAUCAGGAGGAACACCAGUGGCGAAGGCGGUUCUCUGGGCCUUUCCUGACGCUGAGGAGCGAAAGCGUGGGGAGCGAACAGGCUUAGAUACCCUGGUAGUCCACGCUGUAAACGGUGGGUACUAGGUGUGGGGUCCAUUCCACGGGUUCCGUGCCGUAGCUAACGCUUUAAGUACCCCGCCUGGGGAGUACGGCCGCAAGGCUAAAACUCAAAGGAAUUGACGGGGCCCCGCACAAGCGGCGGAGCAUGCGGAUUAAUUCGAUGCAACGCGUAGAACCUUACCUGGGUUUGACAUGGAUCGGGAGUGCUCAGAGAUGGGUGUGCCUCUUUUGGGGUCGGUUCACAGGUGGUGCAUGGCUGUCGUCAGCUCGUGUCGUGAGAUGUUGGGUUAAGUCCCGCAACGAGCGCAACCCUUGUUCACUGUUGCCAGCACGUUAUGGUGGGGACUCAGUGGAGACCGCCGGGGUCAACUCGGAGGAAGGUGGGGAUGACGUCAAGUCAUCAUGCCCCUUAUGUCCAGGGCCUCACGCAUGCUACAAUGGCUGGUACAGAGAGUGGCGAGCCUGUGAGGGUGAGCGAAUCUCGGAAAGCCGGUCUCAGUUCGGAUUGGGGUCUGCAACUCGACCUCAUGAAGUCGGAGUCGCUAGUAAUCGCAGAUCAGCAACGCUGCGGUGAAUACGUUCCCGGGGCU
This 1346-nucleotide ribosomal RNA is filed under the name uncultured bacterium. Its description in RNAcentral is "partial 16S ribosomal RNA". It matches the Rfam family "Bacterial small subunit ribosomal RNA", at positions 28 to 1381 of the family's 1533-position model. The record is from RNAcentral.